CGUAGGGUCCAAGCGUUAUCCGGAAUCACUGGGCGUAAAGCGUGCGUAGGUGGUUUGUUAAGUGUGGUGUUAAAUCGUGGGGCUCAACCCUAUCGAUGCAUCGCAUACUGGCAGACUAGAGGACAGCAGAGGCAAGUGGAAUUUGUAGUGUAGCAGUGAAAUGCGUAGAUAUUACAAGGAACACCAAUGGCGAAGGCAGCUUGCUGGGCUACUCCUGACACUGAGGUACGAAAGCGUGGGGAGCGAACAGGAUUAGAUACCCUGGUAGUCCACGCCGUAAACGAUGCAUACUAGACGUAUGGGGUAUCGACCCCCUGUGCGUCGAAGCUAACGCGAUAAGUAUGCCGCCUGGGAAGUACGGCCGCAAGGCUA
RNAcentral lists this ribosomal RNA (372 nucleotides) under uncultured organism. Its description in RNAcentral is "bacterial SSU rRNA". It matches the Rfam family "Bacterial small subunit ribosomal RNA", at positions 526 to 896 of the family's 1533-position model. The record is from RNAcentral.